GAAGUGAAAGAUGAGAAGUAAAUGAACUAGAGAUGAGUUGUUGGUGUUUUUCCCUUGCCGGAACUUGUUGUUAAACUGUUUCCCUUGCCGGGACUUGUUGUUAAACUGUUUCCCUUACCCGGACUUGUUGUUGCAUUGUUCUUCCUUGCCGGGAUGGUUAAUCUUAUUGUUUACUCCUUUUCCCAUUAAUUGUGAUUAUUGUUUGGGUGAGGAGGAGCGAUAAAGCACG
This 229-nucleotide long non-coding RNA is filed under the name Nicotiana benthamiana. Its description in RNAcentral is "long non-coding RNA (NBEN_LNC000859)". The record is from RNAcentral. Lineage: Eukaryota; Viridiplantae; Streptophyta; Magnoliopsida; Solanales; Solanaceae.